RNAcentral lists this ribosomal RNA (1011 nucleotides) under Aquatospora cylindrica. RNAcentral describes it as "SSU rRNA". It matches the Rfam family "Eukaryotic small subunit ribosomal RNA", at positions 79 to 1098 of the family's 1831-position model. The record is from RNAcentral. Lineage: Eukaryota; Fungi; Ascomycota; Dothideomycetes; Pleosporales; Astrosphaeriellaceae.
CCGUGAAACUGCGAAUGGCUCAUUAAAUCAGUUAUCGUUUAUUUGAUAGUACCUUACUACUUGGAUAACCGUGGUAAUUCUAGAGCUAAUACAUGCUAAAAACCCCGACUUCGGAAGGGGUGUAUUUAUUAGAUAAAAAACCAAUGCCCUUCGGGGCUCUUUGGUGAUUCAUGAUAACUUAACGGAUCGCAUGGCCUUGCGCCGGCGACGGUUCAUUCAAAUUUCUGCCCUAUCAACUUUCGAUGGUAAGGUAUUGGCUUACCAUGGUUUCAACGGGUAACGGGGAAUUAGGGUUCGAUUCCGGAGAGGGAGCCUGAGAAACGGCUACCACAUCCAAGGAAGGCAGCAGGCGCGCAAAUUACCCAAUCCCGACACGGGGAGGUAGUGACAAUAAAUACUGAUACAGGGCUCUUUUGGGUCUUGUAAUUGGAAUGAGUACAAUUUAAACCCCUUAACGAGGAACAAUUGGAGGGCAAGUCUGGUGCCAGCAGCCGCGGUAAUUCCAGCUCCAAUAGCGUAUAUUAAAGUUGUUGCAGUUAAAAAGCUCGUAGUUGAACCUUGGGCCUGGCUGGCCGGUCCGCCUCACCGCGUGUACUGGUCCGGCCGGGCCUUUCCUUCUGGAGAGCCGCAUGCCCUUCACUGGGUGUGUCGGGGAACCAGGACUUUUACUUUGAAAAAAUUAGAGUGUUCAAAGCAGGCCUUUGCUCGAAUACGUUAGCAUGGAAUAAUAGAAUAGGACGUGCGGUCCUAUUUUGUUGGUUUCUAGGACCGCCGUAAUGAUUAAUAGGGAUAGUCGGGGGCAUCAGUAUUCAAUUGUCAGAGGUGAAAUUCUUGGAUUUAUUGAAGACUAACUACUGCGAAAGCAUUUGCCAAGGAUGUUUUCAUUAAUCAGUGAACGAAAGUUAGGGGAUCGAAGACGAUCAGAUACCGUCGUAGUCUUAACCGUAAACUAUGCCGACUAGGGAUCGGGCGAUGUUACUAUUUUGACUCGCUCGGCACCUUACGAGAAAU